Molecule: ribosomal RNA, 549 nt
Filed under: uncultured Rhizophagus
Lineage: Eukaryota; Fungi; Glomeromycota; Glomeromycetes; Glomerales; Glomeraceae
Description: SSU rRNA
Rfam family: Eukaryotic small subunit ribosomal RNA
Source: RNAcentral
UGGAGGGCAAGUCUGGUGCCAGCAGCCGCGGUAAUUCCAGCUCCAAUAGCGUAUAUUAAAGUUGUUGCAGUUAAAAAGCUCGUAGUUGAAUUUCGGGGUUAGUAGGUUGGUCAUGCCUCUGGUAUGUACUGGUCUCACUGAUUCCUCCUUCCUGAUGAACCGUAAUGCCAUUAAUUUGGUGUUGCGGGGAAUUUGGACUGUUACUUUGAAAAAAUUAGAGUGUUUAAAGCAAGCUAACGCUUGAAUACAUUAGCAUGGAAUAAUGAAAUAGGACGUUCGAUCCUAUUUUGUUGGUUUCUAGGACCGCCGUAAUGAUUAAUAGGGAUAGUCGGGGGCAUCAGUAUUCAAUCGUCAGAGGUGAAAUUCUUGGAUCGAUUGAAGACUAACUACUGCGAAAGCAUUUGCCAAGGAUGUUUUCAUUAAUCAAGAACGAAAGUUAGGGGAUCGAAGACGAUCAGAUACCGUCGUAGUCUUAACCAUAAACUAUGCCGACUAGGGAUCGGAUGAUGUUGAUUUUUUAAUGACUCAUUCGGCGCCUUACGGGAAACA